AAUGAACGCUGGCGGCAGGCCUAACACAUGCAAGUCGAACGAGUGGCGGACGGGUGAGUAAUGUCUGGGAAACUGCCUGAUGGAGGGGGAUAACUCCUGUAAACGGUAGCUAAUACCGCAUACCAUCAGAUGUGCCCAGAUGGGAUUAGCUAGUUGGUGGGGUAACGGCUCACCAAGGCGACGAUCCCUAGCUGGUCUUAGAGGAUGACCGGCCACACGGGACCUGAGACACGGUCCAGAAUCCUACGGGAGGCAGCAGUGGGGAAUAUUGCACAAUGGGCGCAAGCCUUAUGCAGCCAUGCCGCGUGUAUGAAGAAGGCCUUCGGGUUUUAAAGUACUUUCAGCGGGGAGGCGUUACCCGCAGAAGAAGCACCGGCUAACUCCGUGCCAGCAGCCGCGGUAAUAC
Molecule: ribosomal RNA, 406 nt
Filed under: uncultured bacterium
Lineage: Bacteria
Description: partial 16S ribosomal RNA
Rfam family: Bacterial small subunit ribosomal RNA
Source: RNAcentral